This 253-nucleotide ribosomal RNA is filed under the name uncultured bacterium. Its description in RNAcentral is "partial 16S ribosomal RNA". It matches the Rfam family "Bacterial small subunit ribosomal RNA", at positions 524 to 776 of the family's 1533-position model. The record is from RNAcentral.
GACAGAGGAGCCAAGCGUUGUCCGGAUUGACUGGGCGUAAAGCGUGCGCAGGCGGUUCGCAAAGUCUGAUGUGAAAGCCCCGGGCUCAACCUGGGAACUGCAUUGGAAACUAACGGGCUCGAGUGUGGCAGAGGGGGGUGGAAUUCCACGUGUAGCAGUGAAAUGCGUAGAGAUGUGGAGGAACACCGAUGGCGAAGGCAGCCCCCUGGGCUAACACUGACGCUCAGGCACGAAAGCGUGGGGAGCAAACAGG